CUGUCAAUGUAUAUAGCAGAUGUGUACAAGCCUUAGGUCUUAUAGUUCAAAUGAUCUCACACGACCAUUGAACGCAAGCAUACAAACAUUUAGAAAGAAAAAAAGUGGGAAUGAGGCGCCACUUAAUGAUGCAGAUAUAAUUCUUUUAUCUAGGUCCUUUUGGUCACAAAUCGAUUGGAAUAUAUGUAAAUAUAUAUUAGCUAGCUAGCUGAAGAGAGAAGGAUAGAAAAGUUUUUAGCUGAGCUAGCUGGUUUGUUAGAAUUUUGUUAG
Molecule: unclassified non-coding RNA, 270 nt
Filed under: Hevea brasiliensis (rubber tree)
Lineage: Eukaryota; Viridiplantae; Streptophyta; Magnoliopsida; Malpighiales; Euphorbiaceae
Source: RNAcentral